ACAAUAACCAGAACAGUUUGUUUGUCCCAUGUCAGGCCUGGGCAUGGUGAUAUUAAUAUUAACUAUUUAUUUAUUUUUGUUUACUUCUGUCGAUGAAAGAAAAUCUGUUCAAUGUCAACUCCAGCAGGUCCUGCAGUAAAUCUGAGUGCUGACUCACCUCCUGCAGUUCCAGAGAAGAACAUACGGUGGCGCUGCGACCCACGCCGAAUCUUACAUCCGUCAUCACUUCCAGGAACAUCGGCCGCUUUUCCCAAAAUAGGAGGGUAAUCAAUUCUCCCGAGAAACAAAGUAAAGUGGCGGUUUGUGCCAGCUUCUGUGAUUGGUCAUGGUCGAGAUCUCUGACGCACUGCGUGAUUCUGCCCUGAUCUCCUCCUGAUCGCUGCAGCACGCCGGCGUCCGUCUCAUAAUUGGCUUUUAAAAUCCUGCUGUACAAAACACUUUCUCAUAACUGAUGAGAAGACAUAACAACUACAAAGAAAGAAAGUCAGAUGGGUUCGGACUAGUCACGAGAUGACAGUAUCAGAGCGGCACAUGCAUUCUCCAGGGAACUCAAAGUGUGUGCGAGUUCGCAUAAUGCACAUGUGUGUCUGCACACUCAUCUAAGUCUGGGCUCAAAGGGUCGUGAUGGAACACAGUCAGUGAAGAUCCUCGGACGCCCUCUGAGACCACAGUAUGUGAAGCUCACCAAGGGGGAGGAAGGAUCCUGCGAAGUCUGUAAUCACACCGACACACACUCCUCCCUGACUCGGGUGAAAGAAUGGAAAAGCUGUCGCUCGCAGGCCACACAGCCGUCCCACGCAAACAUGUGUAGGUACAAGAUGAAGAAGUUAAGAAAUACAUGCCAGCGGUGAUCCUGAAAAUGUGUUUCCCACGGAAAUGAACUGCAUACAGUAAGAUGCGUGGGGGCUGAAAACACACUUUUGAGACCACUGAAGUGCAGCUAACCACCUGCCUGUAGCAAAACGAAGAAAAGCCCCCUCGGCCCGAGAGAAUAAGCGAGAGGGGUGGAAUGAGAGAGCGAGCGAGUCAUGAGUGCAGCUUUGAACAACAAGGGGAAAUCCUCCUAUUGAGAGGCAUGCGCUGUGGAAACACUCAUCACUCAUAGAGAUUUCACAGAGCUUUUCUCAGGCUUGUUGGCUAGUCACAGACCACACAUGCUGGAGAACGCUGAAAUUAAAGCAGAGUUUUUCCUUGAGGACAUUCGUGAGAUGACAGACAGGCACACCUAGAGGAGCUCGGGGGUGAAGCCCCCCACGGCGAAGGAAACGGCCCGAGGAAGGGCCUCAUGCUGAAGGGAGAGGGGCCCGGCUGCUCCUUACACAAUGAAGUUCUUGGAAGAUUCUUGGAAGUAGGAAGGCAAACAGCGCAAACAUGGCUCCCAUCUCUUGUCACCUUCCUGCGAGAGAACAUAUGGCCGGAGACGCUUUAGUGUGAUGAAAGCAAACACAACAAGGACAAUCCACAUCAGACCAACAGACUGAAGUCCAAACGCUGAUUAAAAACAAGAAAAGAGACAAAAAUGUCAUGCAGUUUGUACUCGUCUUACGGGUUUGUUACAAAUGGAUGUGUUUCAGCCAAUGUGGAAGUUAUGCAUGCAAUUUGAAAGAGCAUUUGAGAGUUUCCCCAAAGCCUCCUGAGGAUGACUCCUCUGGUCAUGUAUUUACUGGGUGGAAGCACCAGUUUUCAAAGAGAGAUGGUUGUAUUGCUCAAGUAGAUAGAUUUUUAUCUCUUUUCUUGUCUUUGUCUUUUUAUGAUCCGACCUGAGGUGAUUCCCUGUGUUCUUGGAGGGUUCUGCUUCAGAUACUUUCUGGAAUCCUUGUCCGGGUGUUCUGUUCACCACUGAACAGCCCCGGGACACGAGAUUAACAUGCACUGACGUGUGUUUCUUCAACCCUUUCUAUAGAUGUUGCAACUUUCAAUCGUAACGUUUAGCGUGUGAAAUAUAAUGGUUGACGGAACCAGAUACAUUUGCAAAUGGUUUUCAUAUGAAAUCUGCACAGUUUCAGCCACAGACCCUUGAGAAAUAAAGAGAAGAGGGUCUAGAUCUUGUGUUUUUCGGAAGGGUCUCGCUUUACCCAGCUUGGUCCCUUUAGCACCUCUCCGUCUACAACUUCAGAAUGUUUCAGGGGCCAGUGGUCUAGUCUAGAUGACAGAGCAUUUGCAUGUUUAAAGGCUGAAUGCAGACUUUACAAUGCCUUGCUUUCAUUCUUUCCUGAGCAUCCAGGUUUAAUCACAAAAGAUGAAAGAGACUAAGUCAUGGAGGUCUAAAACCCGAUCUGACAGUUGUUGCAAACCUGUCAAUCAUUUGGCCUGGUCUUUUCUAUCAAAAAUACAA
Molecule: non-coding RNA, 2335 nt
Organism: Pimephales promelas (fathead minnow)
Lineage: Eukaryota; Metazoa; Chordata; Actinopteri; Cypriniformes; Leuciscidae
Source: RefSeq, a predicted model, not a curated record